CUUCAAUGGUCGAUCUCACGCGCU
Molecule: non-coding RNA, 24 nt
Filed under: Arabidopsis thaliana (thale cress)
Lineage: Eukaryota; Viridiplantae; Streptophyta; Magnoliopsida; Brassicales; Brassicaceae
Source: RNAcentral